GACGAACGCUGGCGGCGUGCUUAACACAUGCAAGUCGAACGGAGUGUAGCAAUACACUUAGUGGCGGACGGGUGAGUAACACGUGAGCAACCUGCCCUAUACAACGGGAUAACACAGAGAAAUUUGUGCUAAUACGGUAUAAGACCACACUGCGGCAUCGCAGAGGGGUAAAAGCUGAGGCGGUAUAGGAGGGGCUCGCGGCCCAUUAGAUAGUUGGUGAGGUAACGGCCCACCAAGGCGACGAUCGGUAGCCGGACUGAGAGGUUGAACGGCCACAUUGGGACUGAGACACGGCCCAG
Molecule: ribosomal RNA, 299 nt
Filed under: uncultured bacterium
Lineage: Bacteria
Description: partial 16S ribosomal RNA
Rfam family: Bacterial small subunit ribosomal RNA
Source: RNAcentral